Polypterus senegalus (gray bichir) is the source of this 280-nucleotide long non-coding RNA. RefSeq lists it as uncharacterized. The record is from RefSeq and is a predicted model, not a curated record. The transcript has 2 exons. Lineage: Eukaryota; Metazoa; Chordata; Cladistia; Polypteriformes; Polypteridae.
GAAAGGCUCCGGACCAGCUAUCGAUAAAUUGCGUGUUUUCAUGUUUACUUUAAUAACAGCGCAAGGCUGGCAAACAGCAAUUGCCUGGUGUAAACGUAUGUGUCAUGCAUAGGUCAGUGCUAAUAAAAGACGAUUACGCGAAUCUGGCACACACCAGAGGUUAUCUGAUGCUGGUCUUUCUUAAUGCUUCAAAACUUAUUACACCGCUCUUAGUGAACACUCUUUCAAUGAUGUGACUCUGACUCCCUCAAAGUCUUUUCUUCUGUGGUUACAUUGAGAU